This 492-nucleotide ribosomal RNA is filed under the name uncultured bacterium. Its description in RNAcentral is "partial 16S ribosomal RNA". It matches the Rfam family "Bacterial small subunit ribosomal RNA", at positions 29 to 507 of the family's 1533-position model. The record is from RNAcentral.
AGUGAACGCUGGCGGUAGGCCUAACACAUGCAAGUCGAACGGCAGCACAGUAAGAGCUUGCUCUUACGGGUGGCGAGUGGCGGACGGGUGAGGAAUACAUCGGAAUCUACUUUUUCGUGGGGGAUAACGUAGGGAAACUUACGCUAAUACCGCAUACGACCUACGGGUGAAAGCAGGGGAUCUUCGGACCUUGCGCGAUCGAAUGAGCCGAUGUCGGAUUAGCUAGUUGGCGGGGUAAAGGCCCACCAAGGCGACGAUCCGUAGCUGGUCUGAGAGGAUGAUCAGCCACACUGGAACUGAGACACGGUCCAGACUCCUACGGGAGGCAGCAGUGGGGAAUAUUGGAUAAUGGGCGCAAGCCUGAUCCAGCCAUACCGCGUGGGUGAAGAAGGCCUUCGGGUUGUAAAGCCCUUUUGUUGGGAAAGAAAAGCAGCAGGUUAAUACCCCGCUGUUCUGACGGUACCCAAAGAAUAAGCACCGGCUAACUUCGUG